This 67-nucleotide transfer RNA is filed under the name Marmota monax (woodchuck). RNAcentral describes it as "tRNA.Leu". Lineage: Eukaryota; Metazoa; Chordata; Mammalia; Rodentia; Sciuridae. The record is from RNAcentral.
GGUUGUGGCUAAGAGGUAGAGCGCCUGCCUCAAAUGCAUAGGGCACUGAGUUCGAUCCUCAGUACCA